AAAGCCUUUUUUUAAAGACCCUUUGUCUCAAUUAUAUCUAAUUUAUUAUGUUUCAACAACCUUGAGAUUUUAAAGCCAAUUAUUAUUUCCUAAGGCAUUUUCUUGGCAAAUUUUGUAACUUCUGGGCCUCAGGCGGCUUUAAAGUGAAAAUACCUUUUUUUUUCCUUUACAGAGUGGAUGUGGCCCUUCCCUCUACCUGAGGACAUUUCAGCAGCUCUGGCCUUUCUGGGAGAAAAACUUGGGGGUUUAAAAAGAUUUAUUUCCCAUAUUUUUCUUUCUGAGUAGAAUAUAAUAAUAAGAAAUCUUAUACAUAAUAAGAGAUCUUGUCCUAUUUUAAAACAGAAACAAAACAACUCCUAAAGUAAAGGAAGGAAACUCUCAAAAGGAGGGACUGGGACAGGAGCCUUAGAAUCUUUCUCUCACACUAACCCAGCUCAGCAGCAAAAGACCUUCAUUCUGAGGGGCACACAGCCCAGACAGCAGGCAGGAUUGCCAGUGUCCACAAAUAGUGAAGGGCAGACUAAGUCCCUAAAAAGACAAAAGCAAGCAAAGAACAUCUACAACCAAAGUCACAUUGCAGACAGAAAAAACUCUCACUAGUUAAGCAUUUCAGGCCGCUGAUGCCCUGAGAGGAGGAAAGGGCAGCAAGUUCCUGCAGUCCCCUCCCCCUGCCCGGGUUCAGCCGGCCACAAGCAGCUGGGGACUCCAGCAAAGUGGGAUGUGCUCCCAUCUCACUCCCGCUGCCAUCUGCUUUAAUGUGAGGCUGCCUGUUACCUCCACCAACCAUGGAGGCCCCAAGGCCCCUUGUUUUCCCAUCUAGUGGGUCGUUUCGAUCCACUCCCAGCAUGAACGCACUGAUGCUCUUGGAAGCACAUUUAUUGUCUUAAGGACACUCCUACCACCUUUCUCUCUGGUUGUUUUUCUAAUGUAUGACCGUUCUGCCUCGGUUUCCCUUGUAGCUCUUCUCUCCCUUCCCAUUCAAUGUUUAAGGGCCUCACAAUCAAGUUUAUGCAUCUUUGUGACUCUACACUGUCUCCCCACAUGACCACCUAUGUUCCUGGCUUACAAAGGACACAGACGGACCUUCACCCAUGGCAUUUCUCAUAACUGGCAAACUCAAUAUCCAACUGCCAACGGACCUUGCACCUAGACGUCUACCAGUCACUUGUAGCCUCUGUCUGCUGCUUUCCAUCGCAUUCCCUGGCUUCCUUCACUGUAGCUGCUGACUCAAAGAUACCAGAGAGCAAGAACUGUAUUGGUCAUGAUCACCUCUAUAUCAUGAGGGCAACACACAGCCUGGCUUCGGGAAAGUCCAUAGAGAGUGGGAGAGGGA
Long non-coding RNA from Miniopterus natalensis, 1333 nucleotides. RefSeq lists it as uncharacterized. The record is from RefSeq and is a predicted model, not a curated record. Lineage: Eukaryota; Metazoa; Chordata; Mammalia; Chiroptera; Miniopteridae.